AUGGUUCGAGAGGAGGUAGCAGGAUCCACUCAAACACUACAGUGGAAGUGUGUUGAAUCAAGAGUAGAUAGUAAGCGCCUUUAUUAUGGUCGUUUCAUUCUGUCCCCGCUUAGAAAAGGUCAAGCGGACACCGUCGGUAUUGCCUUGAGAAGAGCUUUACUUGGAGAAAUAGAAGGAACAUGUAUCACACGUGCAAAAUUUGGGAGCGUGCCGCACGAAUAUUCUACAAUAGCAGGUAUUGAAGAAUCCGUACAAGAAAUUUUACUAAAUUUGAAAGAAAUUGUAUUGAGAAGUAAUCUCUAUGGAGUUAGAGACGCAUCCAUUUGCGUCAAAGGUCCUAGAUACAUAACUGCUCAAGAUAUCAUCUUACCGCCUUCCGUAGAAAUCGUUGAUACGGCACAACCUAUAGCUAACUUGACAGAGCCCAUUGAUUUCUGUAUUGAUUUACAGAUCAAGAGAGAUCGUGGAUAUCAGACAGAACUCAGAAAGAACUAUCAAGAUGGAAGUUAUCCUAUAGAUGUUGUAUCCAUGCCUGUUCGAAAUGUGAAUUAUAGUAUUUUUUCUUGUGGGAAUGGAAAUGAAAAACAAGAGAUACUUUUUCUAGAAAUAUGGACUAAUGGAAGUCUAACCCCUAAGGAAGCACUUUAUGAGGCUUCUCGUAAUUUGAUUGAUUUAUUUCUUCCUUUUCUACACGCGGAGGAAGAGGGCGCUAGUUUCGAAGAAAAUAAAAACAGGUUUACUCCACCCCUUUUUACUUUUCAAAAAAGAUUAACUAAUCUAAAGAAAAACAAAAAAGGAAUUCCAUUGAAUUGUAUUUUUAUUGAUCAAUUAGAAUUGACUUCUAGAACGUAUAAUUGUCUAAAAAGGGCCAAUAUACAUACACUAUUGGACCUUUUGAGUAAGACUGAAGAAGAUCUUCUGAGAAUUGACAGUUUUCGUAUGGAAGAUAGAAAACAUAUAUGGGACACUCUAGAGAAGCAUCUCCCAAUUGAUUUACUUAAGAAUAAACUCUCGUUUUAA
RNAcentral lists this ribosomal RNA (1020 nucleotides) under Triticum aestivum (bread wheat). RNAcentral describes it as "partial small subunit ribosomal RNA". The record is from RNAcentral. Lineage: Eukaryota; Viridiplantae; Streptophyta; Magnoliopsida; Poales; Poaceae.